This is a long non-coding RNA of Perognathus longimembris pacificus (Pacific pocket mouse), 155 nucleotides long. RefSeq lists it as uncharacterized. NCBI's taxonomy places the organism in Eukaryota, Metazoa, Chordata, Mammalia, Rodentia, Heteromyidae. The record is from RefSeq and is a predicted model, not a curated record. The transcript has 3 exons.
UGAACCUGGAGCUCAGCACUCUUUGCCUCUUCCUCUCCCCUUGGAUUAUGUCUGCUCCAUAAAACGUGUCUUCAAACCGCAUGUUAGAGGCUGUGGACUAAAAGCAGCCAGUGUUACUCCGCAGAAGGCGUUGGUACUGACCGGCCCAGGACUGG